GAUGUGAUCAUUGUGGAUGGAGAAGAGGAUCAGGAGUGGUGGAUUGGCCACAUUGAUGGAGAGCCCAGCCGCAAAGGAGCGUUUCCCGUAUCGUUCGUGCACUUUAUUGCUGACUAAACUGCCACUGAACAGAAGCCUCUGUUUCACCCUUAUGUUCCAUUUUGUUACUGGUCCCAAGGCCAGCCAUACCAUUUCCAUGGACCGGGUUGUACGGCAGCCCAUCUUUUCACGAUCCUGUCCCAUUCUGAAAACUCAGAGGCAAGGUUUAUAUAUAAGCAGGAUUUUCUUUUUUUUUUUUUUUAUAUAAGUUGUGGUUUUCAUGCAACAUUGCUAUACUUCUACUAGGAAAAGCGGAAUUUCCUAAAAAGGGGGGGAUGAGAAGCUAUUUAACCUUAUACCCAGGAUCCUGUAUUUCCAGGAGUAACUAAGCAAAAAACCAGCUUCAACAAAUUUGAGGGAUUCUUAUGGCUUUCCUUAGCCCAGUUCUCACGUUGGUUAUCUUGUUUAGCACAGUCAGGUUAGCAAGCCAGCCCCAUACUGCUUCCCAGUCUGUCGCCCUCCCCUGGACUUUGACCACAAAUGCCAUCCAUUCACCUUUAAAGACAUGUAUCCCUUUGAAACUCAGCCAGUGUCUGUUCAAGGCAACUUGGCAAGUUAUAUGUUAGCCUUGUACUUUUCUGGACCCUGACUGUAAGGGGGCAGCUGUCAUGACCUCCUGCAUGUAUUACGACCCGUGGUUGUGAACAGUCAUGCCUAGCAUACUACUGAUGGGUUAUUACAGCAUAGCUGACGGUGGUCUGUUCUGCACCGGGUGUUUUUAAACUGCAGAUCCUGAAUUUGGUUGAACACUAAGGAUGCUGAAUCGCAAAGCAGCCCUUCAAACUAGCUUUUAUCGUAUGCCUGGGUGUUUUAGGAUUUGCCGUGUUCAGCGUCCCCUGUCAUGCAGGAAGCAACUGUACAGAAGUAGAAUACGUGGUGCAGGCCACAGUAAGAAGAGCCCAUUCCUCCAUGUCCUAGUGCGUGCUCCUGCCUUCCCCUCCCAGCUCCUGGGGACACCUGCUCGGCUUAGUUCUUGUCUUUUAAUAGGAUUCUCCAAGAGAAAUGGUAGCUACACUGUCUUGAAAUUUAGCCUAUCCAAUUGUUUGUAUUCAAGAGCAUAUCAGAAAUCUGUAGAUCUUGGGGAGCCCAGUACCCCCAAACGUCCCAUUUACACUACGUAAGCCCAUCACAUCACUCCUAAACUUACAAUCUGUGGGGUGGGGGAGGGGAACUAGGUUGUGUGUGAUAAAAAUCAUAACUCAUUAGUUUCAUGAACUUGACUGUCAUACCUCUGCUUAGUAACUGUAAGCAAAAGAGUCAUGGUUGGGAUAUGGGAAAUGAGAGGCGAGCAUAGAGCUUGAACAGAAGCUGGAGUGUGAGCAAAAGGAAUGGACUAUGGAUUAAGGAUUGAGCUCGACAGUGAGGCGAUGUUGCUGCCAAGGUGCAGCACUUAAUCGAAGCAGCCCCUUCUUUACUCUCUGUGCAAGGCUCUUACAAGCUCGGAGCUUCCCUUUCUUUGUUUCUUUCAAGGAAAACAGGACAAACUGGAAUGUCUUAUGAUGCUACAUAGUGACUGCUUCCUGUCUUUCAGAUUCUGGGUGAAAACAACGUGUUAGAUCUGUAAAGUCAGUAUCUCUCUCUCUCUCUCUCUCUCUCUCUCUCUCUCUCUCUCUCUCUCUCCCCCCCCCACCUCUCCCCACACUGCAUCUGUUUUUCACUACUUGCUAAUUUCUGUCCUUUGAGCCCUUCUCCUAGUCACGUUUUUCGUAGACUGAAGAGCGUGACCAGAUGCAUUUUGCACAUUGCACUUCCCAAUACCUUUUACAGUGCCUCCCGCCCGACCCCACACGCAUCUGUCUCAUCGGUCUUUAGUGACCUGGUGCCAGCUCUGAGGAAUCUAGUUGAUUUAUGUCAACAUUUUACCUCCAGUCCCAAGCUAAUCUAUCAGGUUCACUGGUACAUAAAUACCUAGGAAAUAUUUUUCCACUCUAAUUUGGUGGCGCUAUUGUGCGCUAAUGGAUAGUACUUUUUACCAGAAGAGAAAAAUCUAUUGACUUCCCUCCUAAUUAUCCUUUCUGUUACUUGCUCUUUGCAAAUCGAAGAGAAAGCAACGGAAAGGAAAGCAUUGUAGAUAUCUAUUUAUAUUUAAGGUUUACAUUUUCAUGAGAGUCAGCUGCGGAAUUCGGGCUUCUUUUAUUUUAUUUUUUUAAUUUUUUGCCGCUUUCCAUCAUUCUGAUGUGGAGGGCGGAUGACUCAGAAAAGGGUGCACAGACUAAUGUCAUCUAUUGAGGGUGGAGAAUGACCUGUAGCCGAGAACGCUAUUUUGAGAUGUAUGAUAUUCAAUUCAUUCACUUGAUUACUUUGGUCUGGUUGCAGCGCAACUGUAUAUACUGUAUAACCUAGACGGAUUAUUUUCAUUGUCCUUAUUGCAGUGAUUUAUAAUUAGGGCAUGUUUAAUAAAUUGACUUCCCGUUAACCAGUCAUUUGACUGGAAAAAAAAAAUAAAGUUCUUUUAAAUGG
Molecule: long non-coding RNA, 2559 nt
Filed under: Rattus norvegicus (Norway rat)
Lineage: Eukaryota; Metazoa; Chordata; Mammalia; Rodentia; Muridae
Description: long non-coding RNA NONRATT024207
Source: RNAcentral